UAGGGAAUCUUCCACAAUGGGCGAAAGCCUGAUGGAGCAACGCCGCGUGUGUGAUGAAGGCUUUAGGGUCGUAAAGCACUGUUGUAUGGGAAGAAAUGCUAGAAUAGGGAAUGAUUCUAGUUCGACGGUACCAUACCAGAAAGGGACGGCUAAAUACGUGCCAGCAGCCGCGGUAAUACGUAUGUCCCGAGCGUUAUCCGGAUUUAUUGGGCGUAAAGCGAGCGCAGACGGUUGAUUAAGUCUGAUGUGAAAGCCCGGAGCUCAACUCCGGAAUGGCAUUGGAAACUGGUUAACUUGAGUGUUGUAGAGGUAAGUGGAACUCCAUGUGUAGCGGUGGAAUGCGUAGAUAUAUGGAAGAACACCAGUGGCGAAGGCGGCUUACUGGACAACAACUGACGUUGAGGCUCGAAAGUGUGGGUAGCAAACAGGAUUAGAUACCCUGGUAGUCCACACCGUANCGAUGAAUACUAGGUGUUAGGAGGUUUCCGCCUCUUAGUGCCGAAGCUAACGCAUUAAGUAUUCCGCCUGGGGAGUACGACCGCAAGGNU
Molecule: ribosomal RNA, 548 nt
Filed under: uncultured bacterium
Lineage: Bacteria
Description: bacterial SSU rRNA
Rfam family: Bacterial small subunit ribosomal RNA
Source: RNAcentral